This 460-nucleotide ribosomal RNA is filed under the name uncultured bacterium. RNAcentral's name for it is "partial 16S ribosomal RNA". It matches the Rfam family "Bacterial small subunit ribosomal RNA", at positions 338 to 795 of the family's 1533-position model. The record is from RNAcentral.
CCUACGGGUGGCAGCAGUGAGGAAUAUUGGUCAAUGGACGAGAGUCUGAACCAGCCAAGUAGCGUGAAGGAUGACUGCCCUAUGGGUUGUAAACUUCUUUUAUAUGGGAAUAAAAUGUUCCACGUGUGGGAUUUUGUAUGUACCAUAUGAAUAAGGAUCGGCUAACUCCGUGCCAGCAGCCGCGGUAAUACGGAGGAUCCGAGCGUUAUCCGGAUUUAUUGGGUUUAAAGGGAGCGUAGGUGGAUUGUUAAGUCAGUUGUGAAAGUUUGCGGCGCAACCGUAAAAUUGCAGUUGAAACUGGCAGUCUUGAGUACAGUAGAGGUGGGCGGAAUGCGUGGUGUAGCGGUGAAAUGCUUAGAUAUCACGAAGAACUCCGAUUGCGAAGGCAGUUCACUGGACUGCAACUGACACUGAGGCUCGAAAGUGUGGGUAUCAAACAGGAUUAGAUACCCUUGUAGUC